CAGAGGCCGAUGCCUCCCCUUUGGAAAAGGAGCUCCUCCCCUCGUUCGCUCCCGACGCUGGCAUUUUAGGAGCCUCUGCACGACCCUGCUUUACAAAUCCGUCCCUUCUGGCCUCCUUUUUCCAGCGCCCAGGAAAGGCCGUUUCGCCCUGCGAGGGACACAGAGCCGUUGACCGUGGUUGCAACUGGCAGUUGGCGCAGUAAGGACCCAGCCAGUGUUUCAGAUUUGCUGGGCCGUGGCUGUCACCCAGGGAGCUGCUAAGGGCAUCCAUACCUGAAGGCGGAAGGCAGGAUUGCCGGCGGAGAAGAGAUCCAGGUGCCUUGAUGUGAGUGUUGACGGUGGAAAGCAGGCCAGAGCCAGAGACAGAGUCUUGCUAUGUUGCCUAGACUGGCUUCAAGCUCCCAGGCUUAACAGUCCUCCUGCCUCAGCCUCCUGAGUAGUUGGGACUAUAGACUUGUGCCACCAUGCCCAGCUUGCACUGGUUAUUUUUGGCAGAAGGGAAGUUUCAUCAUAAAGCCUUUCUCUUCAGCUCCGGGUGCCAGCUGGAGCCCCAGAAGAGGAUCAGGCAUCGUGUUUAGUCACAACCCCCACUCCUUCAUUGGGCCAGCAAAUAUCUAUCCAUCUUCCCACCGUCUACUCGCAGCCAACCAUGUUCCUGACACUGAAGCCAGAGGUGAGUCCUGCCCUCCAUUGGGGUGGGAGCCUCCUAAGCCAGCAGGGGGAUGGACGCCCCGACUUGAGGGAGAUGCCGCCAUCAAGAACAGGGUUCCAUGGCUCUGGUUCCAAGCCUCAUUUCCUUCCCUUCCUUCCGCCCCUCCCCUCCGCUCCCUCUCCCCUCUCCUCCUCCUCUCCUCUUCCCCCUCCCCGCCCUCCUUCCCUCCCUUCCUUCCCUCUUUUUCUUCUAUCUUUUUUCUUUCUUUCUUUCUCUUUUUCUUUAAGACAGGGUCUUGCUCUAUAGCCCAGGCUAGAGUGCAGUGGAACAAUCAGAGCUCACUGCAGCGUCGACAUCCUGGGCUCAUGUGAUCUUCUCACCUCAGCCUUCCAAGUAGUUGGGACCACAGGUGUG
Molecule: long non-coding RNA, 1066 nt
Filed under: Pan troglodytes (chimpanzee)
Lineage: Eukaryota; Metazoa; Chordata; Mammalia; Primates; Hominidae
Description: long non-coding RNA NONPTRT008433
Source: RNAcentral